AUACGGAGGGUCCAAGCGUUAUCCGGAAUCAUUGGGUUUAAAGGGUCCGUAGGCGGGCAAUUAAGUCAGAGGUGAAAUCCCACAGCUCAACUGUGGAACUGCCUUUGAUACUGGUUGUCUCGAAUUAUAGUGAAGUAGAUAGAAUAUGUAGUGUAGCGGUGAAAUGCUUAGAUAUUACAUAGAAUACCGAUUGCGAAGGCAGUCUACUAACUGUAUAUUGACGCUGAUGGACGAAAGCGUGGGGAGCGAACAGGAUUAGAAACCCCUGUAGUCC
Molecule: ribosomal RNA, 274 nt
Filed under: uncultured bacterium
Lineage: Bacteria
Description: partial 16S ribosomal RNA
Rfam family: Bacterial small subunit ribosomal RNA
Source: RNAcentral